RNAcentral lists this ribosomal RNA (690 nucleotides) under uncultured beta proteobacterium. RNAcentral's name for it is "bacterial SSU rRNA". It matches the Rfam family "Bacterial small subunit ribosomal RNA", at positions 31 to 722 of the family's 1533-position model. The record is from RNAcentral. Lineage: Bacteria; Pseudomonadati; Pseudomonadota; Betaproteobacteria.
UGACCUGGCGGCUGCUUUACACACUGCAGUCUAAACGGUACAGGCCGCAGGUGCUGACGAGUGGCGAACGGGUGAGUAAUGCAUCGGAACGUGCCCAGUCGUGGGGGAUAACGCAGCGAAAGCUGUGCUAAUACCGCAUACGAUCUAUGGAUGAAAGCGGGGGACCGUAAGGCCUCGCGCGAUUGGAGCGGCCGAUGUCAGAUUAGUAGUUGGUGGGGUAAAGGCCCACCAAGGCGACGAUCUGUAGCUGGUCUGAGAGGACGACCAGCCACACUGGAACUGAGACACGGUCCAGACUCCUACGGGAGGCAGCAGUGGGGAAUUUUGGACAAUGGGCGCAAGCCUGAUCCAGCAAUGCCGCGUGCAGGAUGAAGGCCUUCGGGUUGUAAACUGCUUUUGUACGGAACGAAACGGUGAGCUCUAAUAAAGUUUGCUAAUGACGGUACCGUAAGAAUAAGCACCGGCUAACUACGUGCCAGCAGCCGCGGUAAUACGUAGGGUGCGAGCGUUAAUCGGAAUUACUGGGCGUAAAGCGUGCGCAGGCGGUUAUGUAAGACAGAUGUGAAAUCCCCGGGCUCAACCUGGGACCUGCAUUUGUGACUGCAUAGCUAGAGUACGGUAGAGGGGGAUGGAAUUCCGCGUGUAGCAGUGAAAUGCGUAGAUAUGCGGAGGAACACCGAUGGCGAAGGC